CAUAUGGAGGUUCCCAGGCCAGGGCUUAAAUUGGAGCUGUAGCUGCCAGCCUAGGCCACAGCCACAGCCACAGCAACUCCAGAUCCAAGCCGCGUCUGAGACCUAUACCACAGUUCACACUGAGCAAGGCCAGGGAUCAAACGUGUGUCCUCAUGGAUACCAGAAGAGUGGUAAUCUAUCAUACAAAGGAAGCAAUCUCCCAUGGUCACUCGGGCACUAAAAAGAUACCAGGCCAAAAAUAUUUCCCUUCAUCACAUUCCUUUUCUUCCUAUUAUGAAUCUCAACUAGUCUUCUCUGGGCCUAAGAGAUCUUUCCUGUAAGCCUGACACUAUUAAUGAAAAAUUAGAUUUAGAAUUCUUCCCUGACAUAAACUGAUAGAUGUUAAGAUUAAGAAGAGGUUUAGAGGUGUACUUGUAUUCCUACUGUGACCUCUAAAUAGCAUAUUCUAUUCCCAACGUACAAAAGAAACUGAAAUUGAAGAUUAACAUCACAGGUAAUAUAUUUUGGCAUUAUGUGUCUAAUAUGCUUCUAUAAUCAUUAAUUAUUUGAAUUGUCAUGUAAAAUGAGAACCAUUUGUUAACAUUUAAUAUACUGAACAUGCAGGGAAUCAAAAGUAAUAAAUGAAGGUGGUUAGGAGCUAAUGAGAAGAGCUGAAGGGUGAUAGGGCCAAUAUCAUUACUAUCUUGUCAACAAAGGAGACCCAUCUGUACACCAACAAACCAGAGCAAAACGGCAAAGCGAUAAUGCUAUUGUUGUAUAUGGCCAAAGAAAUAAGCUAAUUAUCUUUCUUCAAAGAUGGGCUGUGUCUGAUUAGGAUAUUUACUUUAAAAAACUAAUGUAUAUUGUUCUGUAUCCUUAUAGUGGAAAAUUAAGAAUACAUUAUUCUACUAUUGAAGAUUGAACUAAAUCUACAGGACUUUUAGAUCUAUACAGCAUGACAUAUAUAGAAAUAAAAGCAAAUGAGUAUGAAUUUCCAGAUCUUUAUAAUUCAGAUUUCAUUGCCAUCAAGAUGGUUUCAUAAUUCAAGAUAAUGUAAAACAUCACCCAAUUCAGAGUAAAACGGGGCGAGGAGUUUUGGCUUACUAAAAUGUACAAAUCAUAGGGUAGUUUUUAAUCAGAGUAGACUUCUGCAUAUAGGUAGAAUUUAAUACACAUUAUAAACUUAUCUGUUUAAUUAAUAAUUGGAACUAUGUAUAUAACUUUAAUAAGCUCUAUGCUAAGACUGAAUGAACAUUUUCUAAUUUAGUUUUCACAAUAGCCCUAUGAACUUGAUCCAUCUUUCAUUCCUGUUUUAGGGUUAAAGAAACUAAAGCACAGUUAUCCAAGGCAUAUCAGCUAUAAGUGAUGAAAUCCACAUAUAAUGUCUUCUAAUAUUCAGUUAAAUUUUUUUCUAUGAAAAUUGUUUUUUGUUUUUUUGUUUUAUUUAUUUAUUUAUUUGCUUUUUAGGGCUGCAUCCAUGGCAUAUGGAGAUUCCCAGACUAGGGGUCGAAUUGGAGCUAUAGCUGCCAGCCUAUGCCAUAGUCACAGCAACAUAGGAUCUUAGUCGUGUCUGUGACCUACACCACAGCAACACCAGAUUCUUAACAAAAUGAGCAAGGCCAGGGAUCAAACCCACAACCUCAUGGUUACUAGUCGGAUUCGUUUCCACUGUGCCACAACAGGAACAGCUCUAGGAAAAUUGUUAAAGCAAAAUAAUUUUAGUCUUCUGGCUUUAUGAAAUCUUUGAAAUUAAGGCAGAUUUCCCUAUUAAGAUUAAAAUUUGUUAGCAGAAAAAAAUUUUUAAUAAAUACAACUUUCAGAUUUGGGCUUCUUAAUGUAAAAAGUAAGUGUUUUAGCCAAAUCUAAAAUUCCGUGGUGCCAUAUAUGCAAAUGCUUAAUUAUUGAAAAAAGUCACAAAUGUACCAAAUUUUUAAGAGUCAACAAUAAUUCUUCCAACACCAGGUGUUCAUAGAUUUUCCAAAUAUUAUGGAGGAUCACUUUAUGAUAUAAUAGUAAAGACUGGACUAGAACACACAUACCAUUUAACUGUGCUUCAAAUGUUAGAUGGCAUUAUACCUAAAUCCUUUUCCAAACACUUCCAUUUUACUUUCAGUGAUUCAUUGGGGGGAAUGGCAAUUAGUGUCAUGCAUAAUAAAUAAACAGUAAGAAUGUAGUUAACUUAUUUACAAUAAUAUUUCUUAAUAUGUAUAAAUAUAAAGACCACUUGCACUGAAUUAAAUCACAUUCUGAAUGCCAAUAACCUAACACAGUGCCUGGCACAUAUUGGAUGCUGAAUAAUGAUUACUUUCCAUUUCUUUUUUCUAUAUAACUCUUCCAAGAAAUUUAAUGAAAAGGGCAAUUAACUCACAUGAUCUGUGUAUAGUGUUCAUUUAUUAAAGCACAUCACACAAUUAAUUCAAUAUCUAUGGGUCUUUACAGCCUCUACUGCUCUUUCAGGGCUGAAAAAAUUUAGUAGUCACUUGGACAGGCAAUUUUACUUGGUGCAAAUAUAGAAAACGAUCUAUAAAUUUUAUUCAAAACCAAAAAGUCAUUUUUACUACCUUCUGCAUGAUAGGUAGCCCUAUCCUUUAGAAUGUUUGCUGACCCAAUGACUAAUUAAUAUCAAAGAAGACUCUAACUACUUCAUAAAUGUCAACCACCUAGCACCAUCAAACUUUAAAAGACCCUCCUAGUGUCUGUGGGUCCCCUUGAGGGACAAGGACAAAGAAAGAGUGUGUGCUUGUUGAUAAUGACUUUUAGCAACACCCCUGCUGGCUCCUUGGACACUGGCAAUGGGAGAGUCUGGGUUAAUACUUCUUCACCUUGAGUGUGUUUCAGAGACACUGAGCAACUUGUUACUAAUUCUGAUUCCAAGGUCCUAGCCCCAGAUUUUCUGAUUCAGUAGAUCUCUAAAGUAGAUUCCAGACUUCUCCAAUUUUCACAAAACUCCUAAGAGAUUCUCAUCCAGACUGUUCAAGAAAUACGCUUUUGAAGAUACAGAGAGCUGGACCCAGUCUGAAAUCACCAAAGAGAGAAAGGAAGAAGAAAACGUUACCUAUUUGGUUCUGCUCUCCACAACCUUAGCCCACUCCUACAAAGAACAGGCUAGGGUUUUCUAAAAACUCGCACCUCUAUGAAGGAAUUGGAGAAUGUGAUUCUAACUGAUUGUAUCCCAUUAGCUUUCUUUAGAUACAGGUAUGAAGCAGUGGCUGAGACUGGAGGGACUGUGGCCCAGUAAACCUAGCAAGCUGGGUUUGACUUUCCUCCCCAGUGGGUGAAUGCAGUGGUGUUCUCUUCUUAACCUCUCUAAUUGAAUUGCAAGCCAAUCUCCUUAGUAACCUGUUCUUUGUUCAAGAUAACUACCAGGUGCCUUCUAGCCUCAAAGCUACAGAAAGGUCUUCCUACAAGCACUCUUUUUCAAAUCUCUUUAUCCUCCCCAGCAGGUCCUUUAUAGUCUCUUCUCUCCCACUCCAUGCAUGGAUACUAGAUCUGUGAAACUCCUGACAAUCUGAAGACUGGAAACCAGGCAGGUAAAAUAGAAGCAUCCUUUCUCUUUCAUUUUUAAUUUAAGUGGUUAAUUUUACAGGUUGACGCAGCUGUAAGAUACAAUAUCUAUAAGAGGAGAAAGAGCUAAUAGAUUUUUAUCAGCUGUGUCUCCUGAGGUGUGGACGGCCACCCUCCUCUUGAUUCUAAACCUCAACAAAAAAAUGCUGAAAGAAGUAGAUAAAGCUCUUUGAAGAUGUUUUCAUUGGAGUGAAGCUGCUGCAGUGGUACCCCAAAGUGGUACUUCUGUGGCACAUGAAGUUAUAAAUAUGCAAAUAAAAUCACUGGGUGCUACUAGCCUAACCAUUCAAAGUAAAGUGAUUAUCAAAUCAACUGACAGCUUAAAGCCAGUACACCCCUUGCUAUAAUAGCUUCAGCACAGAUUUUUGCUUAAAGAUAUCAUCCCAUCCCUGAUAAGAUGGGGAAGGGAGCUCCCAGGAUUCCUCUUGUAAAUGUUAAGGUGGUAUUCUGCAAAGCU
Molecule: long non-coding RNA, 4000 nt
Filed under: Sus scrofa (pig)
Lineage: Eukaryota; Metazoa; Chordata; Mammalia; Artiodactyla; Suidae
Description: lncRNA (ENSSSCG00055030958.1)
Source: RNAcentral